CCCCAUGUUCUGCCUUGAGGUAACAAAUUAACAAAUAAAUGAAUAAAUAAGGUAAUACACUUGGCUGUCCUCAGAGGUUUCCUCUUGUAGCCUACUUUGUUCACUGAAAGUGGGGGGAUGGGUUACUGUUUGAUGCUCAAAAUCCCCAGACUAAUUUGAAGUGCAGAGACCCCAAACACCAGGACAGCGUCUGUACACCAGAGUACAGAACUCUCUCAGAGCUGCUCCGAGAGAUCUACUUCGAGAUCUGCUCUGAAACUUUUGCAACGUUAUUGGACAUUUUGUUACAUCUAUUAUUUUGUUGAUGAGUGCUCCAAUUUAGAAAAUGGAGAAAACAGGAGGGGGAAAGGAAAGCCUUCAUGUGUGGUGGCUAGCUAGCUACUCUGCAGCAGCAGCUACAGGUUCUGUUUGUGAUGUUAGGCUAACUUUAUCUACUCUAUAACCGUCCAGGUGGAGCUGCUGGAGAAGGGACAUCUGGUCUCUGUUCCACACCUCUCCCCUCUACGGAGCUUCCUGCAGGUCUAGAGACAUCCAUCCCUCCAGCUCCCUCCAGUGAAACACAGCCUGCAGGUCUAGAGACAUCCAUCCCACCAGCUCCCUCCAGUGAAACACAGCCUGCAGGUCUAGAGACAUCCAUCCCUCCAGCUCCCUCCAGUGAAACACAGCCUGCAGGUCUAGAGACAUCCAUCCCUCCAGCUCCCUCCAGCGAAACACAGCCUGCAGGUCUAGAGACAUCCAUCCCUCCAGCUCCCUCCAGUGAAAAACAGCCUGCAGGUCUAGAGACAUCCAUCCCUCCAGCUCCCUCCAGUGAAACACAGCCUGCAGGUCUAGAGACAUCCAUCCCUCCAGCUCCCUCCAGUGGAACACAGCCUGCAGGUCUAGAGACAUCCAUCCCUCCAGCUCCCUCCAGUGAAACACAGCCUGCAGGUCUAGAGACAUCCAUCCCUCCAGCUCCCUCCACUGAAACACAGCCUGCUGAAGAAACUACACCACUAAUGUCCAGUGAAUCUCCUGCACCAACCGGGGACCAACAAGAACACACUUCAAGAACAAGUACCCCUGAUGUAACUAUGGAUGGUCAUGAUGAUGACCAGAGUCUGGAUGCCCUCGCCUACCGGUCUGGUACUGGACAGCUAGACAUUGAGAUGGGUCCAGUCCAAAAGCUGCCCAAAGAACGUAACAGGAUUCUUUAA
RNAcentral lists this long non-coding RNA (1193 nucleotides) under Gadus morhua (Atlantic cod). Its description in RNAcentral is "lncRNA (ENSGMOG00000030472.1)". Lineage: Eukaryota; Metazoa; Chordata; Actinopteri; Gadiformes; Gadidae. The record is from RNAcentral.